Molecule: unclassified non-coding RNA, 205 nt
Filed under: soil metagenome
Description: partial contains 5.8S ribosomal RNA, internal transcribed spacer 2, and large subunit ribosomal RNA
Source: RNAcentral
AACCUUAUGGACCUGCGGGCGUAUACCUGCGGAGGGAUCAUUACAUUCAGUAGCCUAGCUACUUGUUUACACCCUUGUUUUUUUGCGCACUUCAUUGUAUCCCUCGGCGGGCUUGCUCGCCGGUUGGACAACAUUUAUAACCUUUUUUAAUCUUCAAUCAGCGUCUGAAUUAUAUUUAAUAAUUACAACUUUCAGCAACGGAUCU